AUGCAGGUCCGAUGGAUAUAUUCGAAUUAGUGAGUUUGAUCAUGCCUCAGGAUUGAACUGCUGCUCGCAUGCUUUCCAACAUGCAAGUCGCACGGCAGCGCGGGGAGCAAUCCUGGCGGCGAGGUGGCGAAUGGGUGAGUAAUGUAUCGGAAUCGUAUCCUGUAAUGGGGGAUAAACCAGUCGAAAGAUUGGGUAAUACCGCAUACGCACGAGAGUGGAAAGUGGAGGAUCGCAAGACUUCACGUUAUAGGAGCGGCCGAUAUCUGAUUAGCUAGUUGGUGGGGUAAAGGCCUACCAAGGCGACGAUCAGUAGCAGGUCUGAGAGGAUGAUCUGCCACACUGGGACUGAGACACGGCCCAGACUCCUACGGGAGGCAACAGUGGGGAAUUUUGGACAAUGGGCGAAAGCCUGAUCCAGCCAUGCCGCGUGCAGGAAGAAGGCCUUCGGGUUGUAAACUGCUYUAGUACGGGAARAAGGGAUGCUUUGGUUAAUAAAAAAAGUGUUAAAAAUGGUACCGGAAGAAUAAGCACCGGCUAACUACGUGCCAGCAGCCGCGGUAAUACGUAGGGUGCGAGCGUUAAUCGGAAUUACUGGGCGUAAAGCGUGCGCAGGCGGUCUUGUAAGACAGUCGUGAAAUCCCUGGGCUUAACCUAGGAACUGCGAUUGUGACUGCAAGGCUAGAGUGUGUCAGAGGGGGGUGGAAUUCCACGUGUAGCAGUGAAAUGCGUAGAGAUGUGGAGGAACACCGAUGGCGAAGGCAGCCCCCUGGGAUAACACUGACGCUCAUGCACGAAAGCGUGGGGAGCAACCUUGAUUAGAUACCCUGGUAGUCCACGCCCUAAACGAUGUCGACUCCAUUGUUGGGUGGGUAACCACUUAGUACACGAAGCUAACGCGUGAAGUUCGACGCGCCUUGGGRGAUUACGGUCCGCAAGGAUUAAAACUCAAAGGAAUUGACGGGGACCCGCACAAGCGGUGCGAUGAAUGUGGUUUUAAUUCGAUGCAACGCGRAAAACCUUACCUACACUUGACAUGUCAGAAAUCCUGCAGAGAUGUGGGAGUGCCGCAAGGAAUCUGAACACAGGUGCUGCAUGGCUGU
RNAcentral lists this ribosomal RNA (1100 nucleotides) under uncultured bacterium. RNAcentral's name for it is "bacterial SSU rRNA". It matches the Rfam family "Bacterial small subunit ribosomal RNA", at positions 1 to 1052 of the family's 1533-position model. The record is from RNAcentral.